RNAcentral lists this long non-coding RNA (3372 nucleotides) under Mus musculus (house mouse). RNAcentral's name for it is "long non-coding RNA chr8:6218667-6222039". The record is from RNAcentral. Lineage: Eukaryota; Metazoa; Chordata; Mammalia; Rodentia; Muridae.
UUUAUCAAGGAAUUAUUUCAUAGUGUUUAAAAGAUAAAGAAGAUCCAUGUUUGCCCAUUGAUUCAUUUUUUUACAUGUGACCAUGUACAUUAAGGGCAUGCACAUGUACAUACACACAGGGAGGCUGGGGAACAACUCAUCUCCUUACAUUAUUUCUUUAAUUUAUAGAUUAUAUUAUGUUCUACCCCAUUUCUUUAUACCAAACUCUCUCAUAAACUACUUCUGCUCCUUUUUUAAAUGUAUAGCCUCUUUUUUUAUUAAUUGUUGUUGCACAUACAGAGAGACAAACAGACAGACAGACAGACAGACACAAAUAUGUGUGUAUGUGUACAUAUAUGAAGUGUUUAUACUGUGUAUGUGUAGAUAUAAUCCUAUUUGUAGAAAUAUGACCUGCUCAGUUAUUUAAUGUUACUUUUAUGCACUGUUUUUAGGAAGUCCCAAGAGAAACAUUUGCAAAAACAUUCCAGCAAUUAUGGUUCAGGUAUCAUUGACGAGAACAGGCAGGGAAAGAUUAUGAGACAGAGGAUCAGCGAGUUUUCUUUGAGACUGUGUUUUCUAGCAAUUUUAUAAGCUGCACCCAGAAACUCAAAUCAACGUAAGUGCCCAAACAUGAUCUGAACAAAGGCAACAUUAAUACACAUCUAAUGUGGAUAGAGGACAGUUUAUGAAGCCUCAACCCUACACAAAAAAACUAUUUACAAGUAAGGAAUGCUGAAAAUGAAAGUAGUCUUCUCCAGGGAAAAAGCACCCUAUUUGAUUAACCUAUAUAUUGUGGUUUUUGAUAGUCUUCCACUGGUGCUUCUCAAGUCUGUACAUUGGCUUGUUAAGUGAACCCUGGAUAUCUGCCUGUUUCCAUUUCCCAGCACUAAAAAUACAAGCACAAAGUAUCAUGCUGUGCUCUCUUUACUUAGGCUCUGAGAUUCAAACUCAGGGCUCCGUGCUUGAAAAGUGAUUACUUUACAUACUAAGACAUUUCCUCUGCACCAGUAUUGGUAAUUUGUUAAAUAUAAAUAUGCAUAGCUAUAUAGCUCUGCAAAAGGUAGUCCUGCCUAAUUUGUGGUGUCACACAUAAUUUCUGAGAAUGGAUAAUCAAUAAUAGAGACCUGACUUCUCCUGAUUUGGGGGCUGAGAACACUUUCUAGUGUGCUCUCAGAUGGCAGAACGCAGACAAAGAGGAACACCCUCCCCCCAUCACCCCUCACAAGGGCAGGCAUCCACUUACAAUAAGUGGGAAACACUGAUCAAAGAACUCAGAGCUUUGAUAGAUCCAUAGUAUCCAAUAUAAUACAUACUAAAAAAGCCAACUGAUUCUCAGCUACACAUUAUAAAAUGGGUUUUCCUUUUCCUUGAAGUUUAGUUAGGUAAAUGUCACAAGAUAAAUUACAGAACGCUAAAAUACAGUAGCAUUUGUAGAUAAAACAAAAUGGACCAGGAAAUGAGACAAGAAAGAAAUAACCUAAAGUGAGGAAAUCUAAGGAAACAGAAAAUAACUCCAUGAAAAUAAGCAGGGAAAUACAGUUUUGGAAGGAAGAAAGAGUUGAAUAUAUCAAAUGUCUUGACAGAGGUUGCAUGAAGUGGUGUGACAAGGUUUCAUGGGCUUGAAAAGUGGUCAGCAACCAUUGAGUAGCAAGAGCUUCAAUGGAGUGCUGAAACUAAGUCACAAUCAAAUGAAUCACAAUGAGUGGAAGAAAGAAAUUCAAAACCUACAGUGAGACCAAUGUUCAGGAUUAUGUUUCAUUUGGAGUAGGGAAUACAGGAUCAAAGAAAUAAGCAGCAACAGGAAGACAACAUGGUGUCCAUGCAGGGAUACUUGAUUCUUUGCAGGAAGUAGGGGAUGUUGGUUUCAAUUUUAGAGAAUGAAAUCUAAGAUGGCUCCUUUAAAUAUUAUAGUUAUAUUGAUUGAUUGAAACUAUUGGUUAUAUUGAUUGAUUGAUAUCUCAAUACUUGAUCUUCUAAUCUCUGAACAUGCCCUUUCCUGAAUAAUACCAUUGUUUUCUGAACCAAUAAAUUGAGACUGAUAAGUCUGUAUUUUCAGCAAACUUUUCAGGUAACCCAUGUGUACAUUGUAGUGGGAGUGGUUAAUGACAUCAUAGAUAAUGAUUAUGCACUCAAAACUCAAAUUCUCAUAUUAAAUUUUACAUUAAUAUCCUAAUUAUUCAAAACAUUUGCAAGAAAACUUGUAUAUAUACUGGCCUUUGGGUAUGUUAAAUGCAGUAGGGAUUUACCUCACUCUGAAUAAGGAAAACAUGGUGCUAACCAGUUUCAAUACAAUGACACUCAACAUCAGGACCAAUAAGAGUUUCCUGAGAUAUAGUUAUAUCUCAUCAUUAAGAAUGCUUUUCUGAGGAACACAGCUACCAGAGGAUAAGUUCUCUUUUAAAUGGGAAAGUCAGUCUUUCACUUGCAGAUAUUGGAGAGUGACAAUUGUCAGACUACACACCUUUCUUGGUGGCAACUAUCUCUUUCUUGAUCUCAAUGUAUCUGACAAAUUACAAACUUCAUCAGUUUCUCCACAACCUCUAAACUUGAUUUGCAUAUUCUUGGCAUUUUUGUAAGUGCUUAUAUAUUUCUCUGCUCAAUCAUCUUCUACAACUCUUACUUUUUAAAUUGGUCUUUUUUUUAUUUGUUAAAUAAGAUUGGUAAGUCCAAUCUGCAAGGUCUAAAUUAUACCUCAUUGAUACAAUUUGUUAUAUUCCUUCUGUAACAUUCAGUUCAUUCUCCUGAAAAAAUGAAUUAUUAAAGGUACCUCAUAAAGUAAAGGGUAAAUAAUUAGAUUAUUUGUUAACUGUUUAAAUGAGAUAAAUAUGUAAGACACGGUCUCCAUGUCCUUUGGUAAUUCAUAGUAAAGUGAUAAUGAAUUACCUGCAUAUUAUAAUCUUACUAUUUUCAUUUUAUUUAUUUUAGUGGUAUGGAGGUUUGAACGUAGGACCUCAUACAUAAGAUGGAAAUUCUCAACUACAGAGAUUCACACCACAGACCCUACAAUUUCAUUGUUAUAUAUCUGACUAAAUGUCUAAAAAUCUAUACUAAUGAAAUUGUCUCAAAGAGUUAGGUUUGCUGAAAGCCUAUAAUUUUCUCUAAGCUCAGUGCCUCCAAAUUAAUUAAAGCAUCAGUAAGCUUUCACUGUGCAAAGAAAAAUAAUCCUCUUAAUCUUGGGUUAAUUACAUGCAAUAACUGGAAUUCUGCCUUUUGCCCUCUGAGUUUUCUGCUUCCUAAAUUUUAGUAAAAGUGUAUUAGAUGGCUUUAAUUGUUUAUGCAACUUUAUCUUUAUUCUCAAAUUAAAAUAACUGUGGGAGCAUAAAUUGUGAGGACUGUUAUACGAAUACAAAAUUUCCUACAUGUAAUAAUAAAGCUAUUUGUGUAAGCAUCAUG